Molecule: non-coding RNA, 28 nt
Filed under: Mus musculus (house mouse)
Lineage: Eukaryota; Metazoa; Chordata; Mammalia; Rodentia; Muridae
Source: RNAcentral
UACCAGAAUCCUUCCUGACAAGAGAAUC